RNAcentral lists this ribosomal RNA (253 nucleotides) under uncultured bacterium. Its description in RNAcentral is "partial 16S ribosomal RNA". It matches the Rfam family "Bacterial small subunit ribosomal RNA", at positions 524 to 776 of the family's 1533-position model. The record is from RNAcentral.
GACAGAGGGUGCAAACGUUGUUCGGAAUUACUGGGCGUAAAGCGCGCGUAGGCAGCAGCGUGUGUCGGGCGUGAAAUCCCACGGCUCAACCGUGGAAGUGCACUCGAAACUGCGCAGCUAGAGUCUCGGAGAGGAAGGCGGAAUGCUUGGUGUAGAGGUGAAAUUCGUAGAUAUCAAGCGGAACACCGGUGGCGAAGGCGGCCUUCUGGACGAUGACUGACGCUGAAGCGCGAAAGCCAGGGGAGCAAACGGG